GAUGAACGCUAGCGGGAGGCCUAACACAUGCAAGCCGAGCGGUAGAGAUUCUUCGGAAUCUUGAGAGCGGCGUACGGGUGCGGAACACGUGUGCAACCUACCUUUAUCUGGAGGAUAGCCUUUCGAAAGGAAGAUUAAUACUCCAUAAUAUAUUGAUUGGCAUCAAUUGAUAUUGAAAGCUCCGGCGGAUAGAGAUGGGCACGCGCAAGAUUAGUUAGUUGGUGAGGUAACGGCUCACCAAGACGAUGAUCUUUAGGGGCCUGAGAGGGUGAUCCCCACACUGGUACUGAGACACGGACCAGACUCCUACGGGAGGCAGCAGUGAGGGAUAUUGGUCAAUGGGUGCAAGCCUGAACCAGCCAUCCCGCGUGAAGGACGACUGCCCUAUGGGUUGUAAACUUCUUUUGUAUAGGGAUAAACCUACCCUCGUGAGGGUAGCUGAAGGUACUAUACGAAUAAGCACCGGCUAACUCCGUGCCAGCAGCCGCGGUAAU
RNAcentral lists this ribosomal RNA (494 nucleotides) under uncultured bacterium. RNAcentral's name for it is "bacterial SSU rRNA". It matches the Rfam family "Bacterial small subunit ribosomal RNA", at positions 28 to 524 of the family's 1533-position model. The record is from RNAcentral.